This 1349-nucleotide ribosomal RNA is filed under the name uncultured bacterium. RNAcentral's name for it is "bacterial SSU rRNA". It matches the Rfam family "Bacterial small subunit ribosomal RNA", at positions 29 to 1393 of the family's 1533-position model. The record is from RNAcentral.
ACGAACGCUGGCGGCGUGCUUAACACAUGCAAGUCGAACGCGCCAUCUCUUUUGGGGUGGUGAGUGGCGAACGGGUGAGUAACACGUGAGUAACCUGCCCCUGACUCUGGGAUAAGCCGUGGAAACGCGGUCUAAUACCGGAUAGGACCUUCUGCCGCAUGGUGGGGGGUGGAAAGGGUUUUUCUGGUUGGGGAUGGGCUCGCGGCCUAUCAGCUUGUUGGUGGGGUGGUGGCUCACCAAGGCGAUUACGGGUAGCCGGCCUGAGAGGGCGACCGGCCACACUGGGACUGAGACACGGCCCAGACUCCUGCGGGAGGCAGCAGUGGGGAAUCUUGCGCAAUGGGCGAAAGCCUGACGCAGCGACGCCGCGUGGGGGAUGACGGCCUUCGGGUUGUAAACCUCUUUUCCUUCUGGCGAAGGCCCUGGCUUUUGUUGGGGUUGACUGUAGGGGGGGAAUAAGGACCGGCUGACUACGUGCCAGCAGCCGCGGUAAUACGUAGGGUCCGAGCGUUGUCCGGAAUUAUUGGGCGUAAAGAGCUCGUAGGCGGCGUGUCGCGUCUGCUGUGAAAGCCCAUGGCUUAACUGUGGGUGUGCAGUGGAUACGGGCAUGCUUGAGGUAGGUAGGGGAGACUGGAAUUCCUGGUGUAGCGGUGAAAUGCGCAGAUAUCAGGAGGAACACCGGUGGCGAAGGCGGGUCUCUGGGCCUUACCUGACGCUGAGGAGCGAAAGCGUGGGUAGCGAACAGGAUUAGAUACCCUGGUAGUCCAUGCUGUAAACGUUGGGCGCUAGGUGUGGGGCCUUUCCACGGGUUCCGUGCCGUAGCUAACGCAUUAAGCGCCCCGCCUGGGGAGUACGGCCGCAAGGCUAAAACUCAAAGGAAUUGACGGGGGCCCGCACAAGCGGCGGAGCAUGUUGCUUAAUUCGAUGCAACGCGCAGAACCUUACCUCGACUUGACAUGCAUGUGGUACCAACCCGAAAGGGAAGGGACCCGCGAGGGAGCAUGCACAGAUGCUGCAUGGCUGUCGUCAGCUCGUGCCGUGAGGUGUUGGGUUAAGUCCCGCAACGAGCGCAACCCUUGUCCUUAGUUGCCUUCUCUAAGGAGACCGCCGGUCUAAACCGGAGGAAGGUGGGGAUGACGUCAAGUCAGCACGGCUCUUACGUCGAGGGCUACACACACGCUACAAUGGCCGGUACAACGGGCUGCGAAGGGGCGACCUGGAGCUAAUCCCACCAAAGCCGGUCUCAGUUCGGAUCGCAGGCUGCAACUCGCCUGCGUGAAGUCGGAGUUGCUAGUAACUGCUGGUCAGCACACAGCGGUGAAUACGUUCCCGGGCCUUGCACUCACCGC